GACGAACGCUGGCGGCGUGCUUAACACAUGCAAGUCGAACGGAAAGGCCCUGCUUUUGUGGGGUGCUCGAGUGGCGAACGGGUGAGUAACACGUGAGUAACCUGCCCUUGACUUUGGGAUAACUUCAGGAAACUGGGGCUAAUACCGGGUAGGAGCUCCUGCUGCAUGGUGGGGGUUGGAAAGUUUCGGCGGUUGGGGAUGGACUCGCGGCUUAUCAGCCUGUUGGUGGGGUAGUGGCUUACCAAGGCUUUGACGGGUAGCCGGCCUGAGAGGGUGACCGGCCACAUUGGGACUGAGAUACGGCCCAGACUCCUACGGGAGGCAGCAGUGGGGAAUAUUGCACAAUGGGCGGAAGCCUGAUGCAGCAACGCCGCGUGCGGGAUGACGGCCUUCGGGUUGUAAACCGCUUUCGCCUGUGACGAAGCGUGAGUGACGGUAAUGGGUAAAGAAGCACCGGCUAACUACGUG
This 468-nucleotide ribosomal RNA is filed under the name uncultured bacterium. RNAcentral's name for it is "partial 16S ribosomal RNA". It matches the Rfam family "Bacterial small subunit ribosomal RNA", at positions 28 to 507 of the family's 1533-position model. The record is from RNAcentral.